This is a long non-coding RNA of Portunus trituberculatus (swimming crab), 259 nucleotides long. RefSeq lists it as uncharacterized. NCBI's taxonomy places the organism in Eukaryota, Metazoa, Arthropoda, Malacostraca, Decapoda, Portunidae. The record is from RefSeq and is a predicted model, not a curated record. The transcript is spliced from 3 exons.
UGUCAGACCGGGGUGGCUGAUAAAAAUUUCAUCCUAGUUUAUGGGGCGCUUUCUCCCUUUCAGUUGUCUUUUUUGGUGUGUUUGUGCUUCAGGCGAGUCGGACAAGACCCUUAGACCAGCGGGAUGGGGACACGCCACGCCGAGGGCACGAUGGCUGUGUUCACCCCAGGAAAGCACUGCCAGGCCACCCCGCUAGACGACCCUCUUCGGCGCUUCCCCCGGACAUGUGAAGGUCCCGCUGUUACAAGGUACGUUCCUG